This 502-nucleotide ribosomal RNA is filed under the name Dialister pneumosintes. Its description in RNAcentral is "bacterial SSU rRNA". It matches the Rfam family "Bacterial small subunit ribosomal RNA", at positions 28 to 495 of the family's 1533-position model. The record is from RNAcentral. Lineage: Bacteria; Bacillati; Bacillota; Negativicutes; Veillonellales; Veillonellaceae.
GACGAACGCGGCGGCGUGCUUAACACAUGCAAGUCGAACGGAAAGAGAUGAAAGAGCUUGCUCUUUUAUUAAUUUCAGUGGCAAACGGGUGAGUAACACGUAAACAACCUGCCUUAAGGAUGGGGAUAACAGACGGAAACGACUGCUAAUACCGAAUACGUUCUAAGCAUCGCAUGGUGCAUAGAAGAAAGGGUGGCCUCUACAAGAAAGCUAUCGCCUUAAGAGGGGUUUGCGACUGAUUAGGUAGUUGGUGAGGUAACGGCUCACCAAGCCGACGAUCAGUAGCCGGUCUGAGAGGAUGAACGGCCACACUGGAACUGAGACACGGUCCAGACUCCUACGGGAGGCAGCAGUGGGGAAUCUUCCGCAAUGGACGAAAGUCUGACGGAGCAACGCCGCGUGAACGAAGAAGGUCUUCGGAUUGUAAAGUUCUGUGAUUCGGGACGAAAGGGUUUGUGGUGAAUAAUCAUAGACAUUGACGGUACCGAAAAAGCAAGCCACG